This 433-nucleotide ribosomal RNA is filed under the name uncultured bacterium. Its description in RNAcentral is "partial 16S ribosomal RNA". It matches the Rfam family "Bacterial small subunit ribosomal RNA", at positions 29 to 507 of the family's 1533-position model. The record is from RNAcentral.
AACGAACGCUGGCGGCAGGCCUAACACAUGCAAGUCGAGCGCGCCCUUCGGGGUGAGCGGCGGACGGGGGAGUAACGCGUGGGAACGUGCCCUUCUCUGCGGAAUAGCCUCGGGAAACUGAGAGUAAUACCGCAUACGAUCCCUGGGGGAAAGAUUUAUCGGAGAAGGAGCGGCCCGCGUUGGAUUAGGUAGUUGGUGGGGUAAUGGCCCACCAAGACGACGAUCCAUAGCUGGUUUGAGAGGAUGAUCAGCCACACUGGGACUGAGACACGGCCCAGCCUCCUACGGGAGGCAGCAGUGGGGGAUCUUAGACAAUGGGGGCAACCCUGAUCUAGCCAUGCCGCGUGAGUGAUGAAGGCCUUAGGGUUGUAAAGCUCUUUCAGCUGGGAAGAUAAUGACGUUACCAGCAGAAGAAGCCCCGGCUAACUCCGUG